Molecule: long non-coding RNA, 883 nt
Organism: Salarias fasciatus (jewelled blenny)
Lineage: Eukaryota; Metazoa; Chordata; Actinopteri; Blenniiformes; Blenniidae
Exons: 4
Source: RefSeq, a predicted model, not a curated record
AGGGGCCGCUCACGGUGCUAGCACACCAUGAUGGUCGACCCAACCUGUGUCAUUAAGAAACCAGGAGGGAAGGACUUGCAUGUCACUCGGGGGGAAAUAGUGGAAAUCAUCCAGCUCACCGACGACAAGAAGGUUUUUAGUCGCAACGCCCUCAGGAAAAUAUGGUUAUGUGCUCCGAUCCUAUCUCCUUUCAAUGGAAGGAGACAUUUAUGAUGAUGUUGAUGCACUUGAUGUUUACGACAAUGAUCCUACAUACUGAUGUUGAGAUAAUUCACAUGCUUACAGAGAAAGAAGAAACGCUGUACAAAGAAACCUAACUGAAGCUAUGUAGGACCACAGCUAAACUGAAAAACGAUUCACAAAAAUUUUACGAAAUCAAGAAAUGAUAGAGGUUCUAUACAUUUGAAUGCUGUUCAAACUGGAUAUUCACUCCCAGCUGUCAAACUAAGUUGCAGAAAAACUCAAACUAAAUGCAGUCAAACUGACAUUGAUAGAAGGUAUCACACCUUACAUGUCACUUCAUUCCACUUCAGACACUCACUCACACACACACACACACACACACACACACACACACACACACACACACACCACACACACACACAGCAGAGAUAAAGUAAGAUCCUGUGCUAGAAAUAACAGACAUAUCAUCACUGCUAUUAAUACUGAACUGCUUGUAUAGGAAUAAAUAAAUACACUAUUGCAAUUGCAUUUUAUAUUUCACAGGCCCUGAGAUAAUUUGGCAUAAAGUAAAUAUUUUUCUGUCCUGAGUCAUCUUCCCAUUUUUUUUUUAAUGAAAGCCUUUGUCAGAUUUGUUUAAGUUUGUGAAAUGUUUUAAAACUGAUUAAAUGUUGUAUGAAAAUAAACUGGACCACAUAAGCUG